RNAcentral lists this long non-coding RNA (1368 nucleotides) under Sinocyclocheilus grahami. Its description in RNAcentral is "lncRNA (ENSSGRG00000029589.1)". Lineage: Eukaryota; Metazoa; Chordata; Actinopteri; Cypriniformes; Cyprinidae. The record is from RNAcentral.
AAAAGUGAAGUGCUGUGAAUGCUUUCAGGAUGCACCUGUAAAUGUGCACAAAAUGCAGUUCACAAGGGCGAUGCCUUGACACCUGUGUUUAUUUGAAGUCACUGUAAAUGACUGCCAGCACAUUUGGAAUCAAUAUGAAUCACAGCAGUUAAAGACCUUUAAUGGAGGCUACGACCUCAACCUCACAGUAAAAAGCACGUUUUCCCAAAUCCCCUGAAUUCAUAUAGCCUGCUUCUUCAUUUUAUUGGCCUUCAGACAGCAAGUUACUCACAGUUCCUUUAAGCAACGCUUUAAAACUGUGCUUUAGUUUCGCUUCAUUGUUGUACAGAGGCACUCCUCCUAACUGAAAUACGAGACGCUUUUUAACACUUAAAUUUCACCUGUAGCCUAUAUCAUUAUCAGCCGCAUCCACAUUGAGAAGAAACCUGGAAUCAACUUAUUUACCCUUUACUUGCUAAAUGUAACAAUUGGGAACACGGCAUUGUUCUCUAACCACAACACAAGCCCGGUGAGACCUUUUCGCAACCUGUCUUUUACACGUCGCAGUUCCGGGUCUUUUUGUAGGUUGGGAUCGUGACUAUGGAAGUAUGAGCGACGCGCUGGAGUUGAAGCCUAUUCAAGUUGUCUGUGACAACAAUAACGUCUCGAGUGACCAAACGAUUGAGGGGAUUCCAGGGAAUGGUGCUUGCUCAGGCCACGUCAGUUCAGAGAGAAAUGAAGAUUCCCCUUUGCUAUCAACAACACAGGUCGCUGAGAACAAUAGGGAACAGCACCUCCAUGUGGAUGAAGGCGUCGAUACUGACUCUCUAAGUCAACCCAAGUGGCAGAGGGAGCUGCGGAGAGUCAAGAGAGAACUGAAUGAGGUGGUGGUGUGGAAACUCAAACUAUGGACAUUGAUACUUAUCAUCUUUAUUGCCAUUGCUCUGGUGAUUGGGAUCUCAAUCAUUGUGUGCGCAGUUGGUCAUGACGAUGAGGAUGAAAAAUAUGACAAAUCAUCAUUUGUGGUGCCACGCUUCUUCAGAGGGAAUUUCACUCUGGAUGCUAAAAGUUUCAAUUCAGACACUCAGGAUGAAGAGACCAUGAUAGAGCUGAAACAGCAGGUAAUAAUAACAAGAAUGAUCUGACCGUUAUUAUAGAUACCUGUGUAGUAGGUUUGAGAAACCCAUUGAUACGCUUUACAUAACUACACACAUAUCAUACUCUGAAGUUUGAAGAAAUCAGAGACAUGAAUUGCUGUGAUGAAAGCUGAAUUUUUAGCAGCCAUUUCUUCUGAUUUGCUGCUCAAGAAUUUUUUUUUGUUAUUAUCAAUGUUUAAAACAGUAACCCCCCCCCCCCAGAAUUCUUUGAGUAGAGUUCAAAAGGGAAGCA